AUCAGUAUGUGGUGAUGUUAUGUGUUACUGUCAGUGCGUGUUAGUGUCAAUUAUAUGACAGUGUCAGUGUAUGUUAGUGCCUGUGUGUAAGUGUCAGUGUUUUGUUUAAUGUCAGUGCCUGUUCGUACCAAUGUUAGCGUGUGUUAGUAUCAGUGGAGUGUUAGUGACAGAGCCUGUUACUGUCAGUGAAUGUUGGUAUGUGUUAGUGUCAGUGUGUGUGUUAAUGUCAUUGUGUGGUGAUGGCGUGUGGUACUGUCAGUGUGUGUUAGUGUCAGUGCGUGACAGUGUUAGAAUAUGUUAGUGUCAGUGUGUGUGUUAGUGUCAGUGCCUGUUCGUGUCAGUGAAUGUUAGUGUUUGUUAAUGUCAGUUCGUGUUAGCGUGUAUUCGUGUCAGUAUGUGUUAAUGUAUGCCCGUGUGUAUUAGUGUCAGUGUGUCUGUGUGCAUUAAUGUCUAUAUCUGUGUGUGUAGUGUCAGUGUGUGUUAGUGAGUGUCUCUGUGUCAGGGUUUAUCUCUCUGCGUGUCAGUGUGUUGGUGUGUCUGAGUGCGUGUGUUACUGUCAGUGUCUGUUAGUGUUCACGCAUUGUUUGAAACUGAGAGCUCUGCAAUACAAAGAUCUAGUCACUUAGCUACUCAGGACUAGUGCAUAGUGAUCGGAAAGGGGGCGGAGGGGUGGGAGUUGGCUGUUGGGGGCAUUCGCAAGUAUUGCAGCCGCGCUCAGGGCUCCCAGUUGUCCCAGCUCCAAAGCCUGAGGUCAGGGCAGAGAGAGAGAGAGAGGCAGGAGGAGGCUCAAGCAUCCCGAGCAAACACGCAGAUAUUCUGAGGCAUCUGUCUGGAUUCUGUUCACCCCAAAGUUCAGGACGGAGUUAAAGCUCUCUUUCUUUAAUUCCUGGAGACAGCGUCCUUCUCAUUCAUCUCCGCUGGGCAAGUGUAGCGUCGACCCUGUCCGGGAGAGGGAUGGGUAUUGAAAUUAUAGUUACCGUCCACUACAUUUUUGUAGGUGUUUAAAACUUGACAGGCGAGAUCAGGCGGAGCAGUGUAACCCCACGCCUGACAUUGAAACCGAUCUCUGUCCCUUCGCGAUCUCGGAAACGUAACCCCCGAAAGCCCGAGGAACCUGGGAUGGCGAGGAAAGGGGAAUAAAUAUUUACAACUCACCCCGAUAGAAGAUAACGUGGGAGCGGGUGCGGAGUUGGGCGAGAGCCAAGCUUGGAGUCAAACGGGUUUCCCUCCAAUAGAAGUUACAUUUAAAUGUCCUCAGUAAACAAGCAAGCAACUAUCCAGAAAGAUUUAUUCACAUCGUUCAUUCUCAGUGAGAUGGAAACUUGCAUCAGACAAUUGAAGAAGCAGCGGGGUCAAUUAAUUCAUUUCUGACAUUAUCCCGGGGAACCACCAGGACUGAUCCUCGACGAGUUUGUUUGUCACCGACUCUUGCUAUUCUUCAGUUUUCUCAACAACUGGACCCGCUCUUGCUGUCCCGGGAUUCGCAGGAACGUGGCUCGGAAAGUUUGAGUGUACCAGUGACUGGACAGCAAGAUGCUGCAAAUGCUCAUCCCACACAUUCUCCCAGGCCGAUGUUAUCGCCGCAUCCCCGUCCGCUUCGCUCGUUCUUUUUGUUAAAUAAACGCAGACCAACUUAAGCGACA
Molecule: non-coding RNA, 1643 nt
Organism: Chiloscyllium plagiosum (whitespotted bambooshark)
Lineage: Eukaryota; Metazoa; Chordata; Chondrichthyes; Orectolobiformes; Hemiscylliidae
Source: RefSeq, a predicted model, not a curated record